RNAcentral lists this ribosomal RNA (782 nucleotides) under fungal sp. RF83. RNAcentral's name for it is "eukaryotic LSU rRNA". The stretch from base 423 to 576 matches the Rfam family "5.8S ribosomal RNA". Lineage: Eukaryota; Fungi. The record is from RNAcentral.
GGGGAAUUAAUGACGGCGCCUCGCCGGCGUCGGUUCUCAAACCACUGCGUAUCGAGCUCUUGUUAGUUGCCUCCCCCCCUAAUGGGGGGGAGGGUCCAGCUUCCGAGAACUUUUCGUUGCCCCCUUUCCCUUGACCGGCUGGCUAGCACGCUGCGUAAGCUCGAGCGAACAAUGGUCGCGCACCGUAAAAGGCACGCGCUAUAAAGACUGCCCAUUGCUCUGCGAACCAGCGUGCGAACGGACGAGCCACCGCCCCUCCAGAUCCCGAGGAAUGCUCUUCGGAGAACCGGCAGAAUCUGGGCUGUAUUUAUACGGUCAGGGCGUGACGGUUCCGUCCCCGCUAUCCCCCCAGAGGGAGAGGGCCCCCCAAACCUUCCGUCGUGAUGGCAUCGUCUGACUACUAUUGAACAAAUAGAAAAUACAACUUUCAACGAUGGAUCUCUUGGCUCCGGCAUCGAUGAAGAACGCAGCGAAAUGCGAUAACUAGUGUGAAUUGCAGAUUUCAGUGAAUCAUCGAGUCUUUGAACGCACAUUGCGCCUCUUGGUAUUCCUCGAGGCAUGCCUGUUCGAGCGUCGUUUCGCCCCUCAAGCGCGAGCUUGGUGUUGGGGAUCGCCCCUGAGACACGGCGGCGGCCCUUAAAUGCAUCGGCGGUGCUGGUGCCAGCCCGGAGCGCAGCAGACAUGCGGCUUCCAGGCGGCGCGGCGCCCGCCGGACAACGAGACUUUUUUUACGUGUCGACCUCGAAUCAGGCAAGGAUACCCGCUGAACUUAAGCAUACAGA